GACGGAGGGGGCUAGCGUUGUUCGGAAUGACUGGGCGUAAAGCGCAUGUAGGUGGUUCGUUAAGUUAGGCGUGAAAGCCCUGGGCUCAACCCAGGAACUGCGCUUGAUACUGACGAACUUGAGUCCGGUAGGGGAAAGUGGAAUUCCUAGUGUAGAGGUGAAAUUCGUAGAUAUUAGGAGGAACACCAGAGGCGAAGGCGGCUUUCUGGACCGGCACUGACACUGAGAUGCGAAAGCGUGGGGAGCAAACAGG
RNAcentral lists this unclassified non-coding RNA (253 nucleotides) under uncultured Rickettsiales bacterium. Its description in RNAcentral is "contains 16S-23S intergenic spacer region". It matches the Rfam family "Bacterial small subunit ribosomal RNA", at positions 524 to 776 of the family's 1533-position model. The record is from RNAcentral. Lineage: Bacteria; Pseudomonadati; Pseudomonadota; Alphaproteobacteria; Rickettsiales.